UACGAAGGGGGCUAGCGUUGCUCGGAAUCACUGGGCGUAAAGCGCACGUAGGCGGCCUCUUAAGUCAGGGGUGAAAUCCUGGAGCUCAACUCCAGAACUGCCUUUGAUACUGGGAGCCUUGAGUUCGGGAGAGGUGAGUGGAACUGCGAGUGUAGAGGUGAAAUUCGUAGAUAUUCGCAAGAACACCAGUGGCGAAGGCGGCUCACUGGCCCGAUACUGACGCUGAGGUGCGAAAGCGUGGGGAGCAAACAGG
Molecule: ribosomal RNA, 253 nt
Filed under: uncultured bacterium
Lineage: Bacteria
Description: partial 16S ribosomal RNA
Rfam family: Bacterial small subunit ribosomal RNA
Source: RNAcentral